RNAcentral lists this ribosomal RNA (656 nucleotides) under uncultured bacterium. Its description in RNAcentral is "bacterial SSU rRNA". It matches the Rfam family "Bacterial small subunit ribosomal RNA", at positions 8 to 653 of the family's 1533-position model. The record is from RNAcentral.
AGAGUUUGAUCAUGGCUCAGAUUGAACGCUGGCGGCAGGCCUAACACAUGCAAGUCGGACGGUAGCACAGAGGAGCUUGCUCCUCGGGUGACGAGUGGCGGACGGGUGAGUAAUGUCUGGGGAUCUGCCCGAUAGAGGGGGAUAACCACUGGAAACGGUGGCUGAUACCGCAUAACGUCGCAAGACCAAAGAGGGGGACCUUCGGGCCUCUCACUAUCGGAUGAACCCAGAUGGGAUUAGCUAGUAGGCGGGGUAACGGCUCACCUAGGCGACGAUCCCUAGCUGGUCUGAGAGGAUGACCAGCCACACUGGAACUGAGACACGGUCCAGACUCCUACGGGAGGCAGCAGUGGGGAAUAUUGCACAAUGGGCGCAAGCCUGAUGCAGCCAUGCCGCGUGUAUGAAGAAGGCCUUCGGGUUGUAAAGUACUUUCAGCGGGGAGGAAGGCAGUGAGGUUAAUAACCUUGUUGAUUGACGUUACCCGCAGAAGAAGCACCGGCUAACUCCGUGCCAGCAGCCGCGGUAAUACGGAGGGUGCAAGCGUUAAUCGGAAUUACUGGGCGUAAAGCGCACGCAGGCGGUCUGUUAAGUCAGAUGUGAAAUCCCCGGGCUUAACCUGGGAACUGCAUUUGAAACUGGCAGGCUUGAGUCUCGUA